RNAcentral lists this ribosomal RNA (457 nucleotides) under uncultured Microcystis clone 07. Its description in RNAcentral is "bacterial SSU rRNA". It matches the Rfam family "Bacterial small subunit ribosomal RNA", at positions 129 to 619 of the family's 1533-position model. Lineage: Bacteria; Bacillati; Cyanobacteriota; Cyanophyceae; Chroococcales; Microcystaceae. The record is from RNAcentral.
ACUUCAGGACGGGGACAACAAUUGGAAACGACUUCUAAUACCCGAUGUCCCGAAAGGUGAAACCUAAUUGGCCUGGAGAAGAGCUUGCGUCUGAUUAGCUAGUUGGUGGGGUAAAGGCCUACCAAGGCGACGAUCAGUAGCUGGUCUGAGAGGAUGAGCAGCCACACUGGGACUGAGACACGGGCCAGACUCCUACGGGAGGCAGCAGUGGGGAAUUUUCCGCAAUGGGCGAAAGCCUGACGGAGCAACGCCGCGUGAGGGAGGAAGGUCUUUGGAUUGUAAACCUCUUUUCUCAAGGAAGAAGUUCUGACGGUACUUGAGGAAUCAGCCUCGGCUAACUCCGUGCCAGCAGCCGCAGUAAUACGGGGGAGGCAAGCGUUAUCCGGAAUUAUUGGGCGUAAAGCGUCCGCAGGUGGUCAGCCAAGUCUGCCGUCAAUUCAGGUUGCUUAACGACCUA